GGACUCUCUUCGCACACGACGUUCCACCGACCUAUUGGAUCCAGAAUAACAUAGUACCACCUCGCCUAUCGACCCAAAAACGCAUAGAAGGGGAGGACUAUAUAAGGAGACCCCCUCUGGCCCCUGGAGGAGACAAGAAAUUACCAUAGAGAUUGAGGGGUGCCCUCGAAGGAAAACCUCUUCUCUAAAUAAUAUUUCUUUUUAGGCUUAGCAACCAAUGUAAAGUAGAAAUAGAUCUUCUAGUUUCUACUAGAUUGAGAGAGAUAGAGUGGAGGUGUGGAUCGGAGGAAGGCCGGCCUGUCGGUGUCUACUCCGAGUUGUACCUACGGGAUCAAGUCUCCUAACCCGAGGCUUGCUUCUAAGAUUCUUCAGUAAUUCGACUUCUAAUACUAGUAAGUUCUUGUUUUAUUGUUCUUUGGUUUAUGAGUUUACUUUAAUCCUCUUCUAGUUGAGUAUUAGAGUAAUCACUUGUUAGCGUAAACGUGGUGUUUAGGCUAGGGUACUCAUAGAUAUCCCCUGACUAGCUGGACCGUGGUAGUAGCGAGGAACGUGACAAUUCCGAGUUACCUUUGCAGAUCACAUCUCGUUAGCAGGACGGGUAGGGUUAUAGGUGCGGGUCGAACAUCCUUUGUGUUGUCUAGAUUCCGUGAGCCUCCCCAAUAGAACAGUAGAUUAUCCUUACCAAGGUUAGAACGAGACUACGGUUGCAGUCUUCUCUAUACAUCACUCACAUCGAGAGACAUUCUUUGUAGCCUAAAGGGGUAGUAGCAAUAGAUUUGGUUAGUCAGAUGCACCCUUUCUCCCAGUGGUAAAAAUAUAAAUACGAUACUCUAGAAAACCUCCCGGGUGAAAUGCUCACCGAUAUCCGUGCGCUUGCGGAUCAUUUUCUAAUUGCGUUACCAAAUAUCAACAAGCAUUUCUGGCACCGUUGCCGGGGAGAAAGACGGUUUGCUGAGAUAACUUUGAGUCUUACUAUUAUCUUGUAUUAUACUUUUAUACUUUUAUUCUUUUAUCUUUUUUAUUUUUAUCUUUAUGGAUAACUCAAAUUCCAUACCUAUUAUUAAAUUCUUUGCACCUUCGGAGACCAGCCAUAGACCAUGGGAGUCAACACGUCCUGCCCCUAAUUAUGAUCUGUGUCCGGAGUUGAUUGCAAUAGGUCAAAACCAACCCUUUUCUAUAGCUGAGGUCCUAUCUUUUAAUCAAAAAGAUAAUGCACUUUUAGCUACACCUAGGGAAUCUAUUAAUCUUUUUAUAAAUUCUGGUUUAGACCUAGCCCUACAAGACCAUGUUUUUUCUCGAUAUUUUCACAUUGGUCUUAAUCAUAUAACCUUUGGUAGAGUCUUUCUUUCUUUAUCUAUUAGUAAAGGAAGGUAUGUCUUCAUUUGUGGACAUCCUUCUUGUACUAGUCUUCAUAGAAAAAACAUAGAGAUAGAGAAGGAAUCAUCUCCCAGACGAGGAAAGGAAGUUUCAAUAGCCAAUUUCCAAAUAUUUCAAUCCCAUAAUUCGGCUAUCCAUCCCAUCCUUGAGCUUAAUAAAUUCUACUAUGCUCUUUCUCUUCAACCUCCCGAUAAUCCUAUGAAUUUCUCUAGACAUCCCCUGCAUAAGAAGGAGGAUCGAGAAGAGCAACAUCAAUGGCUAGAGGGCAUUAAAAAUCCAUGUGCUAUCACCAUUGAAUGGAUAGAUAAAACAAACUUGAGAGACAAUCCUAGAGGAAUUUUAAACAUUCAUGAAGAAUCGUCCUUGGAGUUUGAGAAUGAGAGAAACAACAGUGAGCAUGGAAGUUAUUUCAUAAAUACCUCACCCCGUCCUUGCUCAUAUAAAACAUCUCUCCAAUCAAUUAGUCUCUCCAUCCUUAUCACAUUUGAGAUCUCCAACCCUCUCUUCUUUUCUAUUUAUAAAAACUUUAAAAGAGUGGUUGUCGAUGCAUAUGUCUAUAAUAAAUAUUGCAGAUCUCAUUGAGUUAAUUGAUGGUUUCCCAAGGACAAGCUUAGUGUCCUAAAACAAGCACUUCUAAUUAUUUGCAACAUUGCCUUGUGUAUUGAGCAUAUUGUAGAAAUAUUCCUUCGGGUAUUCUUGUCACUAACCUUUCCAGGAUUGGAGCAAGAAGAUCGGAUGAAUAACAAGCACAAGGUAUGUCCAACCAACCAUCACACAACAUUGAAUUAAAUUCAUCCAAACUUGAAUUUUGCAAAAUUCAAGCUUGGGGGAGUACUUUACAUAAAAACAUCCUUUGCCAUGUUGCUACGUUGGUUGUCCCUACCUUUGAGAGAUGCUCAAUUUGUUAAGUACUAAUUACACUACUUCACCUCCACUUGAGUAGAUCGCUAUAAAUGCUCUCAUGCUACCUUUAUUUGCUUUAGUAUAUGUCUAGGUUUGGAGUAGUUUCAUUUAUCUCUUAAAUCAAGCAUGGUGCUUAGUUUAGGAAUGAUGAUCUUACUUCCAAAGGAUUUUUAAAUUAAGCAUGGUGCUUAGGUUAAAAUGCCCUCCUAAAUCAAAUUAGACAUGGUGUCUAGGUUGAUUUUUGAGCCGAUAGUAUGCUAUAGUAGAUAUGGGAUAUUUUGUUGGACUAACCCCUGCAGGAAAACUUUCAAUAUCAACCUGGGAAGUCCUGAGAUACAAACUCAUUGGAGAUAAAGGAGACACAUGAAGUUUAACAAUUUGCACAAGAAGGACAUAGCUCAUUCAUCACAAAGAGAUGAUCCAUGGAGGGUGCCACAAACACGAUACACAACCGCUAAGAAAGGAAAGCUUCCACAAGGUGAUACUGUACCAUCACUCUUCAAGUAAGGUAACAUCUUAAGGUACUUGACCAACACUUUUAUAAGCUUCUCAUUGGUUCUGGCAUUCACAUAAAUAAAGAGACAAACAUGUAUGAUUUAUAACUCCAAAUUAACCAACCCAAUUAAUUCAACAUGUUUAGUCCUUUAAUCUUUGUUCUUAGUACUACCUUCAUGAUCCCACACUCCUAAUCAUAUAAGCUAAAGUAUUGCACAUUCAAUCUUUGAAAGAUAUAAACAAAACAUAAAUAUAGAUAGAUUAUCUUUCCAUUAGGUUGAGCUAUCUGAUCUAACAAAUGUUUUAAAUGCUACACUCAUGAUCCAUCAACUUUGUCUUGCUCACUAUGCUUAAGGUUAGAGAAGAACAAAUACACUUUUGGUUCUGUUGGUGUUUUCCACCAACAGGGCCCAUGCACUUGAUCUCUGCCUUGUCUCUAUGAGCAGGACACAUUUUGAGAAACGUGAAGGCGUUUUACAACUCCCAGAUUCCAUCAAGUGAAGAACCGGGAUCUACGAGCACAAACACAAUGGAGAUCAGACACUUAGUUUCCCAAAGGAAAUAUUGAAGAACCUCUGUGUCCGAGUUGGUACCUUGUACACUCCAGCAAACUUCGUGGUGAUAGAGACUGGCACUGAGGAGAGGGCACCCAUCAUCUUAGGGAGGCCAUUCCUAAACACCAGAGCUGUCAUCUACGCUAAUGCUGCCAAGAUCAGUCUCUACAUCAAGGGGAAGAAGGAGACUUUCCUUCAAGAACAAGACUACACAAACUUCAGAGCAAUCCUGACAUGAACCAAGGAAGAGGACCAACAGGAGGAACAAGAACAAGCAAAUGUGGACCGAGUCAGCUAAGAUGGUCACUGCAGUUCAAGGAGGUCAAGAUCGUCGACUCAAGUCACCUUUCUUGAUCAAGAAGGACGACCCUGGUGUUCCAAGAAUCGAAUGCACAAACAAUGGAUACUCUUUUUAGAAGACACUCUACGACACCGGAUCUGACGUCAACAUAAUGGCUUGAGUCACUUAUCAGCUCCUGCAUGGAACCAUGCCCCUACAACCAAUAUAUAUUCAGCUCCAGAUGAUUUUCAGAUCAUUGACAUGGGAGAAGACGAGUAUGAUCCACCCACCAUCCUUGGAAGACCGUUCCUCAACACUAUCAAAGCCAUCAUCUAUAUUGAAACCGGAGAAGUCCACAUACACUUCUCCUCUAAGAAGGACAAGAAGAAGACAACGCAACCGCAACCAGAUGAGACAAAUCAUCAAGGACGGAUGGGUAGACUACGAAGGAGAAGUGAUAAGGUCUGAAGACAUACAGCUUGAACAGAACUGUCCUGAGGAGACCGUAGCACCGAGGCAGGUGUGGAGGGAGAACAUAGUUAUACACGAAAAGAAGGCGCCGCCAGAAUCACCGACUACGCCACCUAGCGAAUCCCAGGACGACUGAAAACACAAGGAGUCCCGUUCGGAGGACUUAAAAACACCGAACGCCUUGCCAAGAGGUAAACUUGGUAGUUAUCAUUUUCCUUUCAAUUAUUCAAUUAUAGUUUGCUUAGUUAAUCAGGUUCAUUCUAUCUUGAAAAGAAAAUAAUAAUGUUAAAAAAAAUAUAUAGUAAGCCCCAUGUGAGUAUGCUCAUGGCAUAAAACCCAUAAGUACAUUCACUGUGGUGGCAUAAAAAUAAAAUAAAUAAGUUUUCAUCUUAUAAUAAAAAUAUAAAAAUAAUAAGUGCAUGAUCCUGCUAAAUAAGUAACAUUUAUUGAGAAGCCUCAACAUGAUAAAGGCUAGAUAUUUAUGCUAACACUUAACCAGUUCCACAAAGCUUUGUUGUCUAUUUGAGCUCCACAUAAUUCAAGGAUCAAAAAAGACUAGCAGACGGAGGACAUCCUAAUCACUGUCAGGGUGCUGCCGACUUUCAAAUACACCUCCACCACCUGCUAGCUACAUCAGAAGAAAUUACGUCAAAAUUCAGCUUGGGGGAGAGCACCCCCAUUUAUCUCGAUAAGUAUUUCUAUCUAUCUUUAUACUUAUAUUAUUUUAGAAUAUAAAUACACAUAAACUAUGGAAAACCAAAUAAAGAUUUUAUGCUUAUAUAUAUGUCUUUUGCUUAGUGUGUUUAAUAAAUAAAUAAAGUAGCUAUGCCAAUCUGAAUCUUAAUAAUAAAACUUAAGCAUAGAUACGAUGAAUAGUUGCUCUGCCUAAUUUGCAAAUUUGAAGUUCUCUCUCAAGUUUAGAUAUAACUGUUAUAAUUUAAAGCUUGCCCUAGACCUAAACUUGUGGGAUGAAAACUUGAUCUGAAGUCUAAGUUGUUAACGGAUACGAUAUGGGAAGGUUGAGCUGUUGUUUAUCUGUUCCUAGAGAUGCUAGAAUUCUGGAGAAUUUUAUCUUUGAAAAGUCUUUAAAAUAACACAUGAUGAGUUCCUGUAUGAUGAGAGUUUAAAUUCCUACCACAGCUAUAUAUACAUGCUUAUUAGACUUUGAGCCACACAUUUACUAUUUACUGCUUAUGAGCAUUGAGUGUGGUCAAGCUGUGUAGACCCUUAGGAGCUUGUCAUGUGGUUAAAUCAAGAUUUCACUUGCACGUUCACUCAUAUAUGCUACUUCUACUCCGGAAGUACCAUCCACAUAUAUCCACCCAUUCCAUCUCCAGAAUCACCCAAAAAUAUUCUACUCCUAACCCGGAGAGAAUAACCAAAAAUAUUUCUAUUUUCCCCUUGUGAAAUAAAUGCUCAAGUUAUCUUGUUACUACCACUUGCUAUAUUAUCUCAAGAGAUGAAUGCUCUGAAAAAAAAGAGAAAAAAAGAGAUACGAGGAAAUAAAAAGGAGCAAGUGCUCGGAACCUCGAAAGAAAAGAAAAAGUGAGACGAGAGGUAAAAAUGGACAAGUGUCCGACAAUAGAAUUAGGGGUACAAGAUACCCACCUGAGAGGUAAGAAAAAGAAAAUAUAGAGCAUCUCAUUCUCCCCAAAAAGCUUUUAAGUGCAAGAAAGGUAUGUAUCCCCUUAAAAGAGCAAAAGUAGAAUUAGACUUUCACCAUUGUUAUCUCCAUCAUCACCAUACACCAUUCACUCGCCACACAUGCACAUCUUGAUUUGGCUUAUUGAUUUGUUUCUUUGGAUCCAUGGUUUGACUAUGCAAUAAAUGUCUUGUAAGUAUGUAUACUUUAUCUCCCACCUAUGAGCUCCAGAUAUUAAAGCCUUAUUAGAGUAGGGUGAGAGAGAAGACAAUGUCACUAUGCUUCAUACCACAAAUACUACAUAUCUUGAGAGAAGGCAUAUACCAUCACUGCCUUGGUAAGGAUCCAAAAAUACCACAAAAGAGAGACCAGAGAGAAUCAUACAAGGAAUCUCUGAGUUUUAUUUGAAAAUCUUCAAAAACCCCAGAGCUAUAGCUGAGCAAGAAUGAGAGACAUGGCACUUGACUAGACUGUUCUAUCUUUUAACCACUCAAGACAGAAGUGACGGUUACAAGUCCCAUGGUGAAGGUAAAGUAAGUAAGUUUUAAGUCUUGACAGUUUAUUCUAACUCAGAGAUGAGAUCUUGUUUGAAUGCGUGUGUACUUUUAAGAAAUGAAACCACUGCAGAAACUCUCGAGUUCAUCCUUGCUGAGGGACGAGCAAGAGGUAAGCUUGGGGGAGUUUGUUGACGGUCCUUAAGUAUCAAAUUUAAUUAUCAAAUAAACAAAGAAAAGGAACCAAAUGAAAUCAACAUCUAGACUUAGGGUUUUAUCUGACAGAAUUCCACGAGUUUUGGUGUUUGUCUAUUUCUGCAGGGGGUUAUCAGGAAAUAAGGAAGAAAGGCCCACAUGUCGGGAUUACAUAGAAAUAUCAACCCACCGCAAAAUUUUCUACCAUCUAGAAGACUCCAGAAGCCACGGGAAGGAAGCGGAGCCCGAAAGGGGCCAGGCCCAGGGCGCCCGCCCUGAGGACCUGGGCGCCCGCCCACCUCUGGACUCCGUUCCGGACUCUCUUCGCACACGACGUUCCACCGACCUAUUGGAUCCAGAAUAACAUAGUACCACCUCGCCUAUCGACCCAAAAACGCAUAGAAGGGGAGGACUAUAUAAGGAGACCCCCUCUGGCCCAAAGAGGAGACAACAAAUUAUCAUAGAGAUUGAGGGGUGCCCUCGAAGGAAAACCUCUUCUCUAAAUAAUAUUUCUUUUUAGGCUUAGCAACCAAUGUAAAGUAGAAAUAGAUCUUCU
This 6967-nucleotide long non-coding RNA is filed under the name Sorghum bicolor (sorghum). RNAcentral describes it as "long non-coding RNA (SBIC_LNC012286)". The record is from RNAcentral. Lineage: Eukaryota; Viridiplantae; Streptophyta; Magnoliopsida; Poales; Poaceae.